Molecule: ribosomal RNA, 253 nt
Filed under: uncultured bacterium
Lineage: Bacteria
Description: partial 16S ribosomal RNA
Rfam family: Bacterial small subunit ribosomal RNA
Source: RNAcentral
GACAGAGGGUGCAAGCGUUGUUCGGAAUUACUGGGCGUAAAGCGCGUGUAGGCGGCCCUGUAAGUCGGGUGUGAAAUCCCACGGCUCAACCGUGGAAGUGCAUUCGAAACUACAGGGCUAGAGUUCUGGAGAGGAAGGUGGAAUGCUUGGUGUAGAGGUGAAAUUCGUAGAUAUCAAGCGGAACACCGGUGGCGAAGGCGGCCUUCUGGACAGUACCUGACGCUGAGACGCGAAAGCGUGGGGAGCAAACAGG